AACGAACGCUGGCGGCAGGCCUAACACAUGCAAGUCGAGCGAGGACUUCGGUUCUAGCGGCGGACGGGUGAGUAACGCGUGGGAAUGUGCCCUUCUCUACGGAAUAGCCCUGGGAAACUGGGAGUAAUACCGUAUACGCCCUAUUGGGGAAAGAUUUAUCGGAGAAGGAUCAGCCCGCGUUGGAUUAGGUAGUUGGUGGGGUAAUGGCCUACCAAGCCGUCGAUCCAUAGCUGGUUUGAGAGGAUGAUCAGCCACACUGGGACUGAGACACGGCCCAGACUCCUACGGGAGGCAGCAGUGGGGAAUCUUAGACAAUGGGGGCAACCCUGAUCUAGCCAUGCCGCGUGAGUGAUGAAGGCCUUAGGGUUGUAAAGCUCUUUCAGCUGGGAAGAUAAUGACGGUACCAGCAGAAGAAGCCCCGGCUAACUCCGUG
This 433-nucleotide ribosomal RNA is filed under the name uncultured bacterium. Its description in RNAcentral is "partial 16S ribosomal RNA". It matches the Rfam family "Bacterial small subunit ribosomal RNA", at positions 29 to 507 of the family's 1533-position model. The record is from RNAcentral.